CAGCAGCCACGGUAAUACGGAGGGGGCUAGCGUUGUUCGGAAUUACUGGGCGUAAAGCGCACGUAGGCGGCUUUGUAAGUUAGAGGUGAAAGCCUGGGGCUCAACUCCAGAAUUGCCUUUAAGACUGCAUCGCUUGAACGUCGGAGAGGUGAGUGGAAUUCCGAGUGUAGAGGUGAAAUUCGUAGAUAUUCGGAAGAACACCAGUGGCGAAGGCGGCUCACUGGACGACUGUUGACGCUGAGGUGCGAAAGCGUGGGGAGCAAACAGGAUUAGAUACCCCAGUAGUCCCUGUCUCUUAUAC
Molecule: ribosomal RNA, 301 nt
Filed under: uncultured bacterium
Lineage: Bacteria
Description: partial 16S ribosomal RNA
Rfam family: Bacterial small subunit ribosomal RNA
Source: RNAcentral